RNAcentral lists this microRNA (22 nucleotides) under Caenorhabditis briggsae. Its description in RNAcentral is "cbr-miR-35f". Its record names the gene cbr-miR-35f. The record is from miRBase by way of RNAcentral. Lineage: Eukaryota; Metazoa; Nematoda; Chromadorea; Rhabditida; Rhabditidae.
UCACCGGGUGAGAACUGGUAGA